Molecule: ribosomal RNA, 680 nt
Filed under: Enterobacter cloacae
Lineage: Bacteria; Pseudomonadati; Pseudomonadota; Gammaproteobacteria; Enterobacterales; Enterobacteriaceae
Description: bacterial SSU rRNA
Rfam family: Bacterial small subunit ribosomal RNA
Source: RNAcentral
UUUGCCCUUGAGGCGUGGCUUCCGGAGCUAACGCGUUAAGUCGACCGCCUGGGGAGUACGGCCGCAAGGUUAAAACUCAAAUGAAUUGACGGGGGCCCGCACAAGCGGUGGAGCAUGUGGUUUAAUUCGAUGCAACGCGAAGAACCUUACCUACUCUUGACAUCCAGAGAACUUAGCAGAGAUGCUUUGGUGCCUUCGGGAACUCUGAGACAGGUGCUGCAUGGCUGUCGUCAGCUCGUGUUGUGGAAAUGUUGGGUUAAGUCCCGCAACGAGCGCAACCCUUAUCCUUUGUUGCCAGCGGUUAGGCCGGGAACUCAAAGGAGACUGCCAGUGAUAAACUGGAGGAAGGUGGGGAUGACGUCAAGUCAUCAUGGCCCUUACGAGUAGGGCUACACACGUGCUACAAUGGCGCAUACAAAGAGAAGCGACCUCGCGAGAGCAAGCGGACCUCAUAAAGUGCGUCGUAGUCCGGAUUGGAGUCUGCAACUCGACUCCAUGAAGUCGGAAUCGCUAGUAAUCGUGGAUCAGAAUGCCACGGUGAAUACGUUCCCGGGCCUUGUACACACCGCCCGUCACACCAUGGGAGUGGGUUGCAAAAGAAGUAGGUAGCUUAACCUUCGGGAGGGCGCUUACCACUUUGUGAUUCAUGACUGGGGUGAAGUCGUAACAAGGUAACCGUA